Molecule: long non-coding RNA, 335 nt
Filed under: Hordeum vulgare
Lineage: Eukaryota; Viridiplantae; Streptophyta; Magnoliopsida; Poales; Poaceae
Description: long non-coding RNA (HVUL_LNC014027)
Source: RNAcentral
UCGAUUUGGCAUGAUUGAUUCUCUGUCCUGAAGCAUUACAAUAAGUAUCCAAGAGGUUUGAAACCAUGGCAACUCCCUUAUCACUAGACUUGAACAAUAACAGGCUAUCAUGAGCAAAAAGGAGAUGGUUAAUAGCUAGGGUUGUCGGUGCCACCUUGAUCCCUUCCAGGACUGAUGAUUGAGAACAGGAUUUCAAAAGGCAUGAGAGGCUCUCUGUUGCGAUCAAGAAAAGAUGGGGGAGAUAGGAUCUCCCUCGCGGAUACCCCGUGUGGGCAUAAACUCUUCGAGUUUUUCUCCAUUAAACAAAACUGAAAAAGAUACUUAUCUUACCAUGC